Molecule: ribosomal RNA, 253 nt
Filed under: uncultured bacterium
Lineage: Bacteria
Description: partial 16S ribosomal RNA
Rfam family: Bacterial small subunit ribosomal RNA
Source: RNAcentral
UACAGAGGGGGCGAGCGUUGUUCGGAAUUACUGGGCGUAAAGGGCGCGUAGGCGGCCAACUAAGUCAGACGUGAAAUCCCCGGGCUUAACCUGGGAACUGCAUUUGUGACUGCACGGCUAGAGUUUGGCAGAGGGGGGUAGAAUUCCACGUGUAGCAGUGAAAUGCGUAGAGAUGUGGAGGAAUACCGAUGGCGAAGGCAGCCCCCUGGGUCAAGACUGACGCUCAUGCACGAAAGCGUGGGGAGCAAACAGG